GCGGAAGUAGCUCAGUGGUAGAGCAUCGCCUUGCCAAGGCGAGGGUCGCGGGUUCGAAUCCCGUUUUCCGCU
This is a transfer RNA of Thermosinus carboxydivorans Nor1, 72 nucleotides long. It matches the Rfam family "tRNA". Rfam says of the family: Transfer RNA (tRNA) molecules are approximately 80 nucleotides in length. Their secondary structure includes four short double-helical elements and three loops (D, anti-codon, and T loops). Further hydrogen bonds mediate the characteristic L-shaped molecular structure. tRNAs have two regions of fundamental functional importance: the anti-codon, which is responsible for specific mRNA codon recognition, and the 3' end, to which the tRNAs corresponding amino acid is attached (by aminoacyl-tRNA synthetases). tRNAs cope with the degeneracy of the genetic code in two manners: having more than one tRNA (with a specific anti-codon) for a particular amino acid; and 'wobble' base-pairing, i.e. permitting non-standard base-pairing at the 3rd anti-codon position. The record is from Rfam. NCBI's taxonomy places the organism in Bacteria, Bacillati, Bacillota, Negativicutes, Selenomonadales, Sporomusaceae.